AAACGAAGAAGAGUCAUCCUUUAACCAUUAACGAGGAAAGGACCCUACUGAUCCCAGGCCAGCAUUUAGAGAUGUCCAAACCUCUAACAUCAGCAAGUUGAUCAACAAAAUGAGGGCCACUCGACCACUACUCGCUCUCUCUGACAAACGCUGUCAGUCUUAUCGCCUGCAGGCUAAUUUGUUGAACACCGGCGGCCGGAUUCCUCACUGCUCUGCUGACUAACUACUGCAAUCAGAUGUGGCCCUUUGCACAUUCACAUAAACAGCACGAGUGCAAGUUCAUACCUUUGUGUGAACUGCUCCAUUCAGUUGAAGUCGACGUCCUGACUUCCGAAGGAUCUGCCCGAGAGGAAGACAAGGAGCAAGUGAGAUAAAGAAAGAUUCAUUUCAACUGAUGAGACAUACACACAUUAAAGCACAAACAGACACACACACAGAAAACUUUCAAAUCCUUUCAAACCUGAACUCCUUCUUCCAUCCGGCAGCAAAACAGCACAAGACAACCUCACUGGUGUCUCACUGUUAUAUAAAUUGUGCAAGACCAUCACAAUAUCUGACUUUUUAAUGCCUGUGAUUUUCUCCUUUUAUUUAUUCAUUUUGUGCUAUCAUUUCUAAAUAGCUCCAAAAGCAAUAAACUAAUUGAUGAAUGAAUAAUCUGAAGUGGCCAAUGCUGCCCCCUAGUGUUAGAAAAACAUGAACCACUGCAUUUACUUGAUUUCCUACUUCACACAGAAACCACAGCAGAAGGUCAUCGGGGGUGCAGUUAUCACAUAGACCACACUGUGUAAGAGAGGUCACAAAGUUGAAAACUGCAAUCAAAGUGUUCAUCAUUCUGUUAAGGAUUAAAGAAUGAGCUUCUACUGUC
Long non-coding RNA from Betta splendens (Siamese fighting fish), 865 nucleotides. RefSeq lists it as uncharacterized. The record is from RefSeq and is a predicted model, not a curated record. The transcript is spliced from 2 exons. Lineage: Eukaryota; Metazoa; Chordata; Actinopteri; Anabantiformes; Osphronemidae.